Molecule: long non-coding RNA, 313 nt
Filed under: Mus musculus (house mouse)
Lineage: Eukaryota; Metazoa; Chordata; Mammalia; Rodentia; Muridae
Description: long non-coding RNA chr2:30306840-30307153
Source: RNAcentral
GCCGGGCGUGGUGGUGCACGCCUUUAAUCCCAGCACUUGGGAGGCAGAGGCAGGUGGAUUUCUGAGUUCGAGGCCAGCCUGGUCUAAAAGUGAGUUCAAGGAUAGCCAGUGCUAUACAGAGAGACCCUGUCUCCAAAAACAAAACAAAACAAAAAAAGAAGUGUAGUUGACUGGGCAAUAGAAAUAACAAGAGAUAGCAUUUUUUACUCUACACUUUAUUUGUGGUUUUUGUUUUUGUUUUUCGAGACAGGGUUUCUCUGUAUAGCCUUGGCUGUCCUGGAGCUCACUUUGUAGACCAGGCUGGCCUCGAACU